UUUUUAUUCAUGCGAUGUCAGCCCAGGAAAAUAGGAGAUCAGUCUCAAAUCUGUCUCCCCUACCAACUGAAAUUGAGGGCUUUAUGUAUCAGGAGGAGGAAUGUAAGUACGUGCUGGAAAACAGGAAUUAGGAAGGGGAAAGGAGGCAAUCCUGACUAAUGGGAGGUCGGGCAUCUCAUUGUCUGGGUGUAGUGUUUUGGUACGUUUCAGUCCCUUGCCUGAGGGUUGGUUUCCUGAGGAUGGAACUCAGAUAAGACAAAUGUAAGUUUCAUGUUUUAAGACCUGGAGGACCAAUUUCUAUGUUUAUUCAAAAAAUCCAAAAAUAUCAGCUCUGUGGGAAUUGGGCUGGUUUCAAUUUGAUUUAUCCAUUCCUGAAGACUGAUGAGGUAUUUUGUUGCCUCUUUUGUUCUCUCUCCUUCAUUCUCUAAAAAACAAUUUUAGUCCAACUCUAAGAAAAGAAUUUGGGAAAAAUAAAUUUAGUAAAUGAAGCAAGCCAUCGAUAUGGUUUAUUUUGUUGUUAAGCUACACUCUUUGUUGUAAUGUCAUGUGAUAGAAUGCUUGGCCAAGACUGAUCCUUACAGUGGGCCAGCCUUGCAAAUGUGCAGAAAGGAUCCCAUUGUGAUUUAAGAUGUGAUAGUGAGAUGCUCAUCCCUUAUUUCAUGCACUCAAUUAUUCAGUAACUAUUUUCUAAGCACCUACUUUGCAAAAGGUCUUUAAUCGGUAGGCACUGAGUGUACAGUGGAAUGGAACAUCAAAGUGGUCUUAGUCUAGCAGAGCUUUCAGUCUUAGCAGGGGAGACAAACAUUGAGCAACUAAUUAUACACUUAAUUAUUUGAUCACUGUUGUGAUAACUGCUUUGAAAAUGAAAGAAAUCUUACUUCACCCAGUCUCCACUUCCAUAAGGAAGUGACUUUUGGCUUGAGAGCUGCAGGACAAGUUUCUUCUUCAGCAAAUGAGUGGGGAAAAGAAAUUCAGGCAGAGUAGACAGUGUAAAGCUGGAGCAUGGGCACUAAACAGCUGGGAAAAGGCCACUAUGGCUGAAGGGCAGAAAUUAAUAGGGAGAGUGGCCAGAUGAAUUAGGAAAGCUCAAUCAUACUGAGAUUGGUAGGCCACGUUAAGGUUUGGUGUUAGCCUAAUGUCCUAAGGAAUACAUUGACAGAAUUUGAACAGGUUUGGGGUCAAAUGAUGAGGCACAUUUUGAAGGACCUCUCUGACUUCUUGGUGAAAAAUAGAUCAGAAUAAUACAGAAGUGGCUUGGGAGAGACGAAACAAGUGGACUUAUCGGAAACUUCUUCCAGUUUCCCAGUUGCAGGCCCUGACACCAACAGCUGAAGCUCCAGAGAUGAAUCUAGCCUGAGCAGGUUCUAUAUAGAACUAGGCUUGGCUCAGAUGUACCAGGCGGCAGAGUGUGAAAUCAAUCUUCCUGCUCUAAGUUUGAUGUCCUCUGCCUGGCAUGUCCCAGGCCGCUAGACCACAGAUUUGCCCACUGCAGCACUAUCGUCCAGGGCCAAGUUCUGGCUACAGUUUCAGGGUUCCCUUUUGCCCUCCAUUUACGACACAGGACUGGAGCCUUUUUCUGAAACCUGCCUUGAUGCCUGCCCACAUUCACAAGCCUCUAAAUUCCACAGUCGUUCACUAUAAGCCUGAUUGGCCUCCCAGGAGAACAGUGUCUUCCCAAAUAAAGCUCCUUUCCACUAGCUGCUGCACCUUCAGCUGUUGAUUCCCUCACCAGUCUCCCCUCUGCCUCAGGUCCGAGUCCUUAACUGGACCCUCUUCUAGCCUCUCCAAAAAUGCCUCUGAGCUGAGGCUGCUGGAUUCAUAAAAAUGAGCUACAAUAAAUACCUCACUAUGGUGAAGUAUCUGUCUAGAAGAACUUCCCUUUAGCAAAAGAGAGCUUUCUUACUCUUUUGAGAUCACAAGUGUAAUUAUGUGAAUAAUUUCUGGCCAAUAAGACAAGCAAAAGAAUUGUGUGCAACUUCUGGGAAGAGAAGAGAUGUGACUUCCUUCAUCUUGUUCUUCACCUUGCUGUCUGGAAUAUGAACUUGAUGGCUGGAACUUGAGCAGCCUUCUUGGAUCAGAAGGCGGCCUGGGAAUAGGAAUAGAGCUGAAGAGAAGCCGCUGCAUUCUUGAAAAUUAUAAAGAUGCCAUGCCAUUUCAGCUUGCUUUCCUG
RNAcentral lists this long non-coding RNA (2170 nucleotides) under Homo sapiens (human). Its description in RNAcentral is "HSALNT0367002". The record is from RNAcentral. Lineage: Eukaryota; Metazoa; Chordata; Mammalia; Primates; Hominidae.